ACCUGGUUGAUCUUGCCAGUAGUCAUAUGCUUGUCUCACAGAUUAAGCCAUGCAAGUGAAAGUACAUAUGUAAAUAAUAUAUUGAAACUGCGAACGGCUCAUUAAAACAGUUAUAAUCUACUUGAUGUUUUUAAUAUAAGGAUAACUACGGAAAAUCUGUAGCUAAUACUUGUGAAAAUACCUUUUGAUAUAUACAUAUGUAUGUAUCAUUAAGGUAUGUAUUUGUUAGAUAUAAGAAUAAAAUAAAUAUAAUUGAAUUAUAACAAAGAAGAAACACAUAAAAUAUGUGUAUUAUCAAUCGAGUAUCUGACCUAUCAGCUUUUGAUGUUAGGGUAUUGACCUAACAUGGCUAUGACGGGUAACGGGGAAUUAGAGUUCGAUUCCGGAGAGGGAGCCUGAGAAAUAGCUACCACAUCUAAGGAAGGCAGCAGGCGCGUAAAUUACCCAAUUCUAAAAAAGAGAGGUAGUGACAAGAAAUAACAAUACAAUAUCGAAAAAUGAUUUUGUAAUUGGAAUGAUAGGAAUUUACAAGGUUCCUAGAGAAACAAUUGGAGGGCAAGUCUGGUGCCAGCAGCCGCGGUAAUUCCAGCUCCAAUAGCAUAUAUUAAAAUUGUUGCAGUUAAAACGUUCGUAGUUGAAUAUUAAAGAAUCCGAUGUUUCAUUUAAACUGGUUUGGGAAAACCAAAUAUAUUAUAUAUUUUGCUUUGUUCAAAAUAAGGUUUUCUAAUAAAUUAUGUUUUUAUCAGAUAUGACAGAAUCUUUUUUAAAAUCUCUUCAAUAUGCUUUUAUUGCUUUUGAGAGGUUUUGUUACUUUGAGUAAAAUUAAGUGUUCAUAACAGACGGGUAGUCAUGAUUGAGUUCAUUGUGUUUGAAUACUACAGCAUGGAAUAACAAAUAUGAAUAAGCUAAUUAUUUUUUUUUUUCAUAAUUUUUUUUGAUAUUCUUAUUAGCUUAGUUACGAUUAAUAGGAGUAUCUUUGGGGGCAUUCGUAUUCAGAUGUCAGAGGUGAAAUUCUAAGAUUUUCUGGAGACGGACUACUGCGAAAGCAUUUGCCUAAUCUAUUUCCAUUAAUCAAGAACGAAAGUUAAGGGAGUGAAGACGAUCAGAUACCGUCGUAAUCUUAACCAUAAACUAUACCGACUAGGUGUUGGAUGAAUAUAAAAAAUAUAUAAAUAUGUAGCAUUUCUUAGGGAAUGUUGAUUUUAUAUUAGAAUUGCUUCCUUCAGUACCUUAUGAGAAAUCAAAGUCUUUGGGUUCUGGGGCGAGUAUUCGCGCAAGCGAGAAAGUUAAAAGAAUUGACGGAAGGGCACCACCAGGCGUGGAGCUUGCGGCUUAAUUUGACUCAACACGGGAAAACUCACUAGUUUAAGACAAGAGUAGGAUUGACAGAUUAAUAGCUCUUUCUUGAUUUCUUGGAUGGUGAUGCAUGGCCGUUUUUAGUUCGUGAAUAUGAUUUGUCUGGUUAAUUCCGAUAACGAACGAGAUCUUAACCUGCUAAUUAGCGGUAAGUACACUAUAUUUUUAUUUGAAAUUGAAUAUAGGUAAUUAUACAUGUUUAUUCAGUGUUCAAAUUAGGAUAUUUUUUUAUUAAAAUAUUCUUUUCCCUGUUCUACUAUAAUAAUUUGUUUUUUUUUACUCUAUUUCUCUCUUCUUUUAAGAAUGUACUUGUUUGAUUAAAUAAAGCUUCUUAGAGGAACAGUGUGUAUCUAACACAAGGAAGUUUAAGG
Molecule: ribosomal RNA, 1727 nt
Filed under: Plasmodium falciparum NF54
Lineage: Eukaryota; Apicomplexa; Aconoidasida; Haemosporida; Plasmodiidae
Description: 18S ribosomal RNA
Rfam family: Eukaryotic small subunit ribosomal RNA
Source: RNAcentral